Long non-coding RNA from Puntigrus tetrazona (Sumatra barb), 521 nucleotides. RefSeq lists it as uncharacterized. The record is from RefSeq and is a predicted model, not a curated record. The transcript is spliced from 2 exons. Lineage: Eukaryota; Metazoa; Chordata; Actinopteri; Cypriniformes; Cyprinidae.
GCAUGCCUUUUAAAUAAUCAAAAUUCUAAAAUACAUUUAUUCAAACAGCUGAGAAUGACAAUUAUUUUGUUCAAUUAAUAUUGGAACUGUACAUAGUUGUAAAACAAUUGUGUAAAGGCUACAUUCAAUUAUUUAAAACAUGUAAGAUUUAAAUAAAUUUGAUUAAUUGAUGAUAAAUGUAUGAACCUGGUUAUUGUAAAUUAUGUAAAUGAUGGAAAUUGUAUAUGUAAUUCAUAUGCAUAAAUCCUAAAUUUAGGUUAUCUCCAUAUAUUUAUUUAUUUAGCAUCAGGUCUUAUUUUACAAUCAUGACUGUACACUACAUGAUAACAUGGAAGGGUACAGGCAAAAUAAAUGUAUACAAGGAAGCAUAAAUAAGCAUAAGCAAAUAAGUAAGCAUAAAUAAUAUUUUAGCAUAUGUCAUUUUAUUUACCAUAAACUGUUUAAGUUAAAUGACAAUAUUAUGCUGCUUGGUCUGAACUGGAAGCAGUAAAGACAGUAAUAAAAAGCCUGUAUGAAUAUCA